UGAAGUCAACAUAGGAUUCUUUUUUUUUUUAAUCUUGAUUACGGCUAAAAUAGUUAAGUCUUUGUACAAAUCUUUCAAUCUCAGAAAACAGUAAUCGAGCUACAAAUAGAGCUUAAAAGAUUAGUACAGAGUUACCUUUAUGGAAAGAAAAAAUACAGUGAAAAUGGUGACAACAGAUGUAGCAAGCAAAACUCCGGUUUCUAUUAGUCUUCUUAACAAUACUUAAGGAUGAAAUGAAAGAUGGUGAACGGGAGGAUGAUUAGCUUAUGCUUUACCUGCUCUUUUGGUAACCCAAUCAGGACGUAGACGUGAACUGUAUUUACAUUAUUAUGGAAGAAUCACCAUCCCUUUGGCGAAAAAAAAGAAUCACCAUCCUUGAAAGUUAUUUGGGCGGGAUGCUACAACGUUUUAAAGCAUUUUAGUGCUGAGAAACAAUUCUUGGAAAUUC
This 448-nucleotide long non-coding RNA is filed under the name Brassica rapa (field mustard). RNAcentral's name for it is "long non-coding RNA (BRAP_LNC001670)". Lineage: Eukaryota; Viridiplantae; Streptophyta; Magnoliopsida; Brassicales; Brassicaceae. The record is from RNAcentral.